RNAcentral lists this ribosomal RNA (497 nucleotides) under uncultured bacterium. Its description in RNAcentral is "partial 16S ribosomal RNA". It matches the Rfam family "Bacterial small subunit ribosomal RNA", at positions 28 to 507 of the family's 1533-position model. The record is from RNAcentral.
GAUGAACGCUGGCGGCGUGCCUAAUACAUGCAAGUCGAGCGAACAGAUAAGGAGCUUGCUCCUUUGACGUUAGCGGCGGACGGGUGAGUAACACGUGGAUAACCUACCUAUAAGACUGGGAUAACUUCGGGAAACCGGAGCUAAUACCGGAUAACAUAUUGAACCGCAUGGUUCAAUAGUGAAAGGCGGCUUUGCUGUCACUUAUAGAUGGAUCCGCGCCGUAUUAGCUAGUUGGUAAGGUAACGGCUUACCAAGGCAACGAUACGUAGCCGACCUGAGAGGGGGAUCGGCCACACUGGAACUGAGACACGGUCCAGACUCCUACGGGAGGCAGCAGUAGGGAAUCUUCCGCAAUGGGCGAAAGCCUGACGGAGCAACGCCGCGUGAGUGAUGAAGGUCUUCGGAUUGUAAAACUCUGUUAUCAGGGAAGAACAAAUGUGUAAGUAACUGUGCACAUCUUGACGGUACCUGAUCAGAAAGCCACGGCUAACUACGUG